GUGCUAAUCGGAAUUACUGGGCGUAAAGCGCACGCAGGCGGUUUGUUAAGUCAGAUGUGAAAUCCCCGGGCUCAACCUGGGAACUGCAUCUGAUACUGGCAAGCUUGAGUCUCGUAGAGGGGGGUAGAAUUCCAGGUGUAGCGGUGAAAUGCGUAGAGAUCUGGAGGAAUACCGGUGGCGAAGGCGGCCCCCUGGACGAAGGCUGACGCUCAGGUGCGAAAGCGUGGGGAGCAAACAGGAUUAGAUACCCUGGUAGUCCACGCCGUAAACGAUGUCGACUUGGAGG
RNAcentral lists this ribosomal RNA (286 nucleotides) under uncultured bacterium. RNAcentral describes it as "partial 16S ribosomal RNA". It matches the Rfam family "Bacterial small subunit ribosomal RNA", at positions 538 to 823 of the family's 1533-position model. The record is from RNAcentral.